RNAcentral lists this ribosomal RNA (493 nucleotides) under uncultured bacterium. RNAcentral describes it as "bacterial SSU rRNA". It matches the Rfam family "Bacterial small subunit ribosomal RNA", at positions 29 to 516 of the family's 1533-position model. The record is from RNAcentral.
AACGAACGCUGGCGGCAUGCCUUACACAUGCAAGUCGAACGGCAGCACGGGAGCAAUCCUGGUGGCGAGUGGCGAACGGGUGAGUAAUACAUCGGAACGUGCCCAGUCGUGGGGGAUAACUACUCGAAAGAGUAGCUAAUACCGCAUACGACCUGAGGGUGAAAGCGGGGGAUCGCAAGACCUCGCGCGAUUGGAGCGGCCGAUGUCAGAUUAGCUAGUUGGUGGGGUAAAGGCCUACCAAGGCUACGAUCUGUAGUUGGUCUGAGAGGACGACCAGCCACACUGGGACUGAGACACGGCCCAGACUCCUACGGGAGGCAGCAGUGGGGAAUUUUGGACAAUGGGCGCAAGCCUGAUCCAGCAAUGCCGCGUGCAGGAAGAAGGCCUUCGGGUUGUAAACUGCUUUUGUCAGGGAAGAAAUCCUCUGGGUUAAUACCUCGGGGGGAUGACGGUACCUGAAGAAUAAGCACCGGCUAACUACGUGCCAGCAGCC